Portunus trituberculatus (swimming crab) is the source of this 74-nucleotide non-coding RNA. Lineage: Eukaryota; Metazoa; Arthropoda; Malacostraca; Decapoda; Portunidae. The record is from the annotation of a RefSeq genome assembly.
CACCGCGUAGUGUAAUGGUUAGCACACUCGGCUUAUAACCGAAAAGGCCCGGGUUCGAGUCCCGGGCGCGGCGA